AUUGAACGCUGGCGGCAGGCCUAACACAUGCAAGUCGAACGAGUGGCGGACGGGUGAGUAAUGUCGGGGAAACUGCCUGAUGGAGGGGGAUAACUACUGGAAACGGUAGCUAAUACCGCAUACCAUCAGAUGUGCCCAGAUGGGCUUAGCUUGUUGGUGGGGUAACGGCUCACAAGGGCGAAGAUCCCUAGCUGGUCUGAGAGGAUGAGCAGCCACACUGUAACGAGGACACUGUCCAGACUCCUACGGGAGGCAGCAGUGGGGAAUAGUGCACAAGGGGCGCAAGCCUGAUGCAGCCAUGCCGCGUGUAUGAAGAAGUCCUUCGGGUUUUAAAGUACUUUCAGCGGGGAGGCGUUACCCGCAGAAGAAGCACCGGCUAACUCCGUGCCAGCAGCCGCGGUAAUAC
RNAcentral lists this ribosomal RNA (406 nucleotides) under uncultured bacterium. Its description in RNAcentral is "partial 16S ribosomal RNA". It matches the Rfam family "Bacterial small subunit ribosomal RNA", at positions 30 to 526 of the family's 1533-position model. The record is from RNAcentral.